RNAcentral lists this ribosomal RNA (443 nucleotides) under uncultured bacterium. RNAcentral describes it as "bacterial SSU rRNA". It matches the Rfam family "Bacterial small subunit ribosomal RNA", at positions 337 to 794 of the family's 1533-position model. The record is from RNAcentral.
ACCUACGGGGGGCAGCAGUGGGGAAUAUUGGGCAAUGGGCGCAAGCCUGACCCAGCAACGCCGCGUGAGGGAAGAAGGCCUUCGGGUUGUAAACCUCUGUCCUUGGGGACGAAAAAAAUGACGGUACCCAAGGAGGAAGCUCCGGCUAACUACGUGCCAGCAGCCGCGGUAAUACGUAGGGAGCGAGCGUUGUCCGGAAUUACUGGGCGUAAAGGGUGCGUAGGCGGCAUGGCAAGUCAGAUGUGAAAUCCCCGGGCUUAACUCGGGUUCUGCAUUUGAAACUGCCGUGCUUGAGUGCAGGAGAGGAAAGCGGAAUUCCUAGUGUAGCGGUGAAAUGCGUAGAUAUUAGGAGGAACACCAGUGGCGAAGGCGGCUUUCUGGACUGUAACUGACGCUGAGGCACGAAAGCGUGGGGAGCAAACAGGAUUAGAUACCCUGGUAGG